CCCCGUCAAUUCCUUAAGUUUCACCGUUGCCGGCGUACUCCCCAGGUGGAAUACUUAACGCUUUCGCUUGGCCGCUUGCUGUAUAUCGCAAACAGCGAGUAUUCAUCGUUUACCGUGUGGACUACCAGGGUAUCUAAUCCUGUUUGAUACCCACACUUUCGAGCAUCAAUGUCAGUCACAGUUUAGUAAGCUGCCUUCGCAAUCGGGGUUCUUCGUGAUAUCUAAGCAUUUCACCGCUACACCACGAAUUCCGCCUACCUCAACUGUACUCAAGACUGCCAGUAUCAAUCGCAAUUUUACGGUUGAGCCGCAAACUUUCACAACUGACUUAACAACCCAUCUACGCUCCCUUUAAACCCAAUAAAUCCGGAUAACGCUCGGAUCCUCCGUAUUACCGCGG
This 400-nucleotide unclassified non-coding RNA is filed under the name uncultured Bacteroidaceae bacterium. RNAcentral describes it as "contains 16S-23S intergenic spacer region". Lineage: Bacteria; Pseudomonadati; Bacteroidota; Bacteroidia; Bacteroidales; Bacteroidaceae. The record is from RNAcentral.